This 446-nucleotide ribosomal RNA is filed under the name uncultured bacterium. RNAcentral describes it as "bacterial SSU rRNA". It matches the Rfam family "Bacterial small subunit ribosomal RNA", at positions 330 to 792 of the family's 1533-position model. The record is from RNAcentral.
ACCAGACUCCUACGGGAGGCAGCAGUGGGGAAUAUUGCACAAUGGGGGAAACCCUGAUGCAGCGACGCCGCGUGAGCGAUGAAGUAUUUCGGUAUGUAAAGCUCUAUCAGCAGGGAAGAAAUUGGACGGUACCUGACUAAGAAGCCCUGGCUAACUACGUGCCAGCAGCCGCGGUAAUACGUAGGGGGCAAGCGUUAUCCGGAUUCACUGGGUGUAAAGGGAGCGUAGACGGCCAUGCAAGCCUGGAGUGAAAGCCCGGGGCCCAACCCCGGGACUGCUCUGGGAACUGUGCGGCUGGAGUGCGGGAGGGGCAGGCGGAAUUCCUAGUGUAGCGGUGAAAUGCGUAGAUAUCAGGAGGAACACCGGCGGCGAAGGCGGCCUGCUGGACCGCGACUGACGUUGAGGCUCGAAAGCGUGGGGAGCAAACAGGAUUAGAUACCCCAGUA